Molecule: long non-coding RNA, 2019 nt
Filed under: Patiria miniata (bat star)
Lineage: Eukaryota; Metazoa; Echinodermata; Asteroidea; Valvatida; Asterinidae
Description: uncharacterized LOC119740361
Source: RNAcentral
AUAAAUUCCCUCCUCGUAUAGAUUAUCAAAAUAAAUGAAGGACCCCUUCUCACAGUCAGGGCAUUGCUAGAGUUCUUGGCCUCCGUGCCAAAGUACGUACCCCCUCAACGGUGGCAGAACGGAUGGAAGGACACCUCGGUGUCUUUUGCCGGCGUGAGACACGGGUAUACAUGUACAGGUAACGCCACUGAUGUGGCACGCAUGUAAAUAUGGUACUUUUGGGGCAUGAUGUUGAUAUGGUGAAAAGUUCAGUGUUUGUUUGUAUGUGAUACAUGUACAGGAGUGUUGUCAAAGUCCGACUUGAGUGAAGUCUAAUUAGCCGAGUACAACACAAAACAAAAACGGAUAACUUAAACGAAGACCGUCGUUUUCGUUCAAUGUCUCAUUGGAUAGCACUUAAUAUUCAAUUGUUCAAUAUUCAAUGCACGGGGACACUCCGCUCUUUAAUAAACUACUUUGGUGCGCAUGUCGGCCUCAGGGCACACACAUCAGCUUGAUUCGUUUAUACACUGUUCAUUUGAUGAAGUGCGUAGCUCUCCCAGUAGUUCAGCCAGACGCCAGCGAAGGACGCCCAAGGAAAUCCAAUUAAGUUCCCAACCAGCAUAUGACAGGAUUAUUACGUAUGCCGUCCAUGACGACUGGCGAAGCCCCCCGAGACGAGAUCCGAUCCGAAGCGACGUCCGUGAAUCGUGUUAUUUUUCCAGCAUAAUCUUCUUCCCGUCCCACGCUACUACACUUUUUUUUCUGGGAUGCUGUUAAUUUAUGUAGAGGCAAUAUAGUGCGCUGACCAUGAUUUCACUGUUGUGUGUCAAAUUGGUGACGCGAAGGUCAGGCUGACAAAAUUAUGAAUGAAACUUUUGAUCGGGCAAAAGCAAAUUGUAGAUUGCGAACUCAGGGCAAAGCCUGCAAGCCAUUUGUGUUAACAUAGAGGCUGUAAUUACUGUAAUGUACACACUGUACAGAAAGGUUGAAUUAUAAAAGGGGGGAAAAGGGUUUUCUGGGAACUUUAGGAGCUCAAACUGUGACCGUUAAUUCGCGACCGACCCCCUUCUUUCAAAAUCGUCGAUCGUACCACGAUCUGACCUAUCUGAAUUUUUGACGAAUUUGGGUUUUUAGCAUAUUCUGGUUAUGCAUGAUGAAAUCUUUAUUUUCUGAAAAUUUCAAAUUCAUAAGUGGCCUAAUUAGCUCAUUAAGCUGAUUCGUGAAACGCGUAAACAACACUGUCAGUUUUCCACGAAGUGACUUAUAGAGUCUGGUACCUGGAUUUAAUGUGGUCCCCAUCACUUUCUUAUGAAAUUGAGUUACUAGGGGCCAGUCUUUAGCGUUAUCAGAAACAAUGGCGGCGUACACAUGUCGUUUGAUGGCUGAACGAAACUAGCAAGUUUCAACCGAGUUUCUGAUUCUGUAAACGUCUAAUGUGGAUGUCUCAGUGGUUAAUUGCAGCCAAAAGUUUAUACAGAGCACCAUUCGUCUACAUAAUUGAAUGAAGUUUUGAAAAAGCUUCGUUGAAAGGAAAGUGAUCGAUUCCUGGAGCAUGAAUAUUUUCGAUGUUUUGUGCUUGUUACUCCACAAUCUUUGAACCAGGAGCUGUUCCUUAGCCGUCACUGGUUUCACCUUUGAUCUACAUCCUUCACUAAUGCCAGACUUAUCUUGAAAUAUUAAGAGUUACCUCUUUUAUUGUCAGUUCUCGCACUAUUUCAUUUAUGCACCUAAAGUUUGAAGUAAAACUAAAAACUAAAAACAGUAAUUAAGAACAAAUAAAGGAAAUCCAUUGCUAAGAACGUUUCAAGUAAAGUCUUUAUUUUUAAAUUUGAAAGAUUGCUGAGAACAACUCUUUGCACUGCCUCUCUGUUGAACUCCUUACAUCAGACCUGCAUCAUGAUGGUCAUUCCCAGUUCAAACAUCAAGGCAGUACUUGUCUUUCUACAUAAUGAAUUUGUUUCUUAGAUUUACUUUUCUAUCCCUUGAGUGGCCCUUAAAUAUGGCCUGUUCUGAUAGUCGACUCUCAAAAAAAACAAA